Molecule: long non-coding RNA, 7624 nt
Organism: Meriones unguiculatus (Mongolian gerbil)
Lineage: Eukaryota; Metazoa; Chordata; Mammalia; Rodentia; Muridae
Exons: 6
Source: RefSeq, a predicted model, not a curated record
GUUGGGGCUCCGGGCCCGCGCACCCCAGGCCGUGCAAACAUACCUGGAGGGGUUUAGCCUCCACUCGCGGUUCCGGGUCACGAGGCGCGCGGACGAGGGGGCCCUGUCACCCACUCGCGACUGCAGGGUCUCAAAUAUUGAAGACAGUUCUUGAAGUUAGUACCCAGGAGUGGAGUAAUCACUAUGAAGCCAGAAGAGCCUUAGACCUCUCAUUCUCCUGCCUCUUCCUCCUGAAAUGCUGGAAUUAAAGGCUAUCAAGCUGUUGAGACAAUGGACCACAAGCUGGAAAGAGGAAAAGGCUGGGAUUCUGGUGCCAACCAGAGGCAAAGCUUGUCUCCCAGAAAGAGAAUUCAUGCAAUUCUGACAACUUGUCAGAACCACCUUGCAGGAGAGACUGGAGCUGGGACAGUGAUGAUGGACUGGAGGACUGUAUUUAGGACUUGUAAGAAAUUAUAUAUUUUCAAAACAGAAGAACUGGACACCAGUGAUGCUGGAUCAAACCUGACAGGAUUCAUCCCUCCAGCAUGCUGAGACGCUAACACAUCUGUUCCAGCAUCCUGCAUGUUCCCAGCAUUCUACUUGUACUUCAGUUGCUGUUCCUCACCGAAGCCUGCUCCCAAAACAGCUUCAGAGUAAGCUGCUGAUCUCAACUGGUCCAGUGUUUCAGACUGUUCCAAACAGGACUUCUAUGAAGUCUGGAAUUUCUCAACAUUUAGAAACUGGAUCACAAAUGUUAAUGCUAGCUUACUUAACUAUUUUCCCCAAUUUCCUUUGGGCCCCCAAAUAGGAUUUUUUUUGUAUCUAAAUCAGGUAGAAGCAACCUUGAGAGUGAAGUUGCAUUUUCCUUAAGUUUUUGGUUGUUUUGGGAGGCUAUGAAUGUUUAUUGUCAUUGAGAGAUGGUUAUAAGUUAUUAAUGGCCUUAUUCAGAGAGAAGACAGAGUUAGAUUCAGGGAUUUCUCUCUUUUCUUUCCUCUAUCUUUCUUUUUUAGAUAAGGAGAAAAGGGUUGAAAAGAAAGGGAAAUAAAAACAUAUCUUAUAGGAAUAAUAAGACAGAAGGUAGAUUAUUGAAUCUACUCAACUUAAGACUUUGUUAUUCUCAAAUCAGGUUAUUUUUAACUCAUUGGCAUAGGAUUUUGUAUAGUAAUACAAAAGUAAGUAUUUAUGAUACAUUGGUAUAAAUUUUGUUAGAUUGAUACAAAUUUAAGGCUAACUUUCAAUACUUUAAAACUAAUAUUAUAAGCUUUUAGGAUAUUAGGUAAUACAAUUGGUAAUUGGUAAAUGUAAUUGGUAAUCAACUCAUGGUCCUAUCAGACACUAGUCUAAUCUAUCACAGAAAUAUAUAUCCUAGAUUUAACAGAUAGACAUGAUUCUAUACACAGAUAGAUUAUAUAAAAAUAAAUAAGUCUUCAAAAAUCAUAGAGACCUACAGAACAUGGCAUUUAAAAUGUUUUUAUUAUUUUAAUGAUUCUUUAACAAUGAGACAUGUCAUCUCCCGGUAGCACCCAGCCUACCUCAAAGAAGAUGAUGAGCAUCAAAGAACCUCCAUGUGGAGAUGGCUUCAAAAGUGGCAAACCAGCCACUUGGGCAAAUAAAAUGCCCUCGCUUCAUAACAGACAGAAUUCUGCCUAAAAUGGGCAAGCUUAAAUACAAACCAAGUAGACUGCCGAACUCUGCCAAGACAGGGUAAGCAAGUCCUAAAUAGCUUCUGCUUCACAUAUACAUCUGUCAAAUAUACUGGGCCAGAAGGCUGAAGAUGAUGCUCCAGUGUUUAAAGAGUAGAGUUCAGGGAGCAAACUGUCUCUGUCAUUUUGGUUAUUUUUGGAAGCUGCUAGCAUGUACUUCAUAUUUACUCAAAUAAUUAAUUUUAUUCCUUCUCAAGUCUCUGAUGGGGUUGAAGAACAGAUAGUCAUAGUUUUCCAACUAGCUUAGUUGCUUAGAAAUUAAAGAGAUAUUUCAGGUCUAGAUAGAUGUUUUUAAGUUUAUAAAUGCAAAUUAUAAUAAAAAUAACAGGUACAAAUCUUUAGACUCUCAUAUACAGGAUAGAUAUUUUCUUCAAGAUAGCCAAAUACAUUUAGACUAGAAGACUAGAAUAUAUAUAUAUAUAUAUAUAUAUAUAUAUAUAUAUAUAUUCUUACCUAUUAGUUUUUUAAUGGUUUCAUAAUUAUUUUUACUAUAUUAAAAAUGGCCUUUUUAUUUAGACAGAAAAGGGGAAUUGUUGGGGUUGGUCUGAUGCUUGUAUUUUGUUUUUGUUGCUAAUUACUGGCCCUCAAGAUCUGUUACUGCCAUGAUACACCUGUCCUUGUUGUGUAAACCUACCUGAUUGGCUGAUUAAAUGGCCUAUUCCUGGGCAGGGCAGAAUGGGUUCCCAGGCUUUUGAGGACAGGAGGAUCAUGGGAAGAAGAUGGAUGGGAAGAGAGGAGAAAGGAGGAUGCCACAGUGGGAUUAGCGUGAAGAAGAAACCACAUGGGCCAUGAGGAAGGACUCCAAGAAUGGUGUGGAUGGAAAAACACCAAAUAUAAGCAAGUAUUCGUAAGAUUGUUGAUGGUAGGUAGCCCCAGAUAAGGAUGGUGAAGGCAGAUGCCAUUGGAUAGGGGCUGGACGGUGGAUGGUGAGGUUGUUGAGACAGUGUAGGUAGAAAUAUCUGCCCAAGGUAAAUAAGCAAUUCUAAAAUCUACCAGGUGUCUGUGUCUUAUUAUUUGUGAUAGCGGGCUAAAUACCACCACCACAAUAAUUAUAGGGCUAGUAAUAAUAAUAUGUAUUUUAUAGCUCAACACUCAUUUACAUUUACAACCACAUAAUAUGGUCACAUUUAAUAAAUCUUAUUCUGCUCUUCAGUAUUAUUUGUUUGCUUAAGUGGCCUGUUGGCAGUGGGUGGCUAAACCUGGCUUGUUAGACAUGCCGGGGCCCAGGCUCUGGCCCUAGCAACUCCAAGUCACAAUUUCAGUGACCUAACCAGGAAAAGAGAGACUUCUUUUGGUUUUAUCCACUUAGGACAAAAUGAUGUCAGGUGAAGAAGAUUGAAGGGUCCCACACAGCUGCUGGUGUCACUUUAUUCCAGGACCUUUUCCUUUUCUUCCCAUUUCAGAGGACAUCAGUUGCUUCUUACCUUUAUUGGAUGAAAUAGAGAAAAGAGUAUUUAGACUUCAAAAAAUUUUGAUUCUUAGUUUCUUUCUAGUCAGUGCAUCCCAGGCUUUGCUUUCCUGUUGGUUUGGGGCACCUUUGAGCUGUUUAGGUUCAUUUUGAACCAUUUUCGUAAUUGCUGUGUGGUGCCUGGCUUUGUCUUUUAGAACUCUGAGCUGUUUGGGUUGUGUUGAACCAUUUGGAAUAUUAUGCCACUGUAUGACGGGAUUGUUAAUUCGGAAAUUUGGGGGCCUCUGUUGAGCCAGUUAAGGUUCUGUUCAACCACUUGAGACAGAAAUGAAGGCGUUAAGGAAAUCCUUACUGUGAUUUGUGUAUCUUGAUGCCCCCUAGGGAGAAAUUUGAUUAGAGUUUUGUAUGCUCGUGGUGGUUUUAAGGCAGUGUGCAGCAGCACUUAAUCUGUUUCAAGAAUUCCAGAAAAUAACUGAGUUGUAAACUUCUGGCCUUUUCUUUCCUUUUUCUUAAAAAAAAAAUUUUUUUUUUAAUUUAUUAUGUAUAAUGUUCUGCCUGCCUGUGUGGUAGCACGCCAGAAGAGGGCACCAGAUGUCAUUAUAGAUAGUUGUGAGCCACCAUGUGGUUGCUGGGAAUUGAACUCAGGACCUCUGGAAGAGCAGCCAGUGUUCUUAACCUCUGAGCCAUCUCUUCUGAGAAACAUUGUUCAAAGACAAGGGGAGGAAAUGUUAAAAUUGAAAUGAAGUCACAUUGGGCAUGGUAGUGCUUGCAGCACUUGGGAGCCUGAGGCAGGAGGAUUGUGAUUAAGAGGACAGUGUGGGAUUUGUAGCGAAACUCUCUGUGAAAGCCAACAAAAAUGGAAUCACUGUGCCACCCCUUCCAAAGUAACUAAAACCAAGUGAAAUGGAGAAAUGACUCGAAGACUUGGUUAAUGUCAAGUAACUAAAUUAAUUGUCUUCAGACUUUGAUCCCUGCUUGUAUUAUGUUUGUGAUACUUAUUUCAGACACAGGCAUAUUAUACCCCAGGACUGAAGUAUAAAAACAAAAACUGAGAAUGUAUCCAUCUUGGUAGGGAUGAAGAUGUUCUAAAGACAGACCAAUGCCUUACCCUUCCUUGGUUAUCAGAAAGACAGAGUAGCCUGGGGUACUGCACGAGGCUACACCCCUCCAUCCUGAAACAGCCCCUGGACUUUCCCUCCCCAUGGCCUCUGCCCUCUACAAGCCCCUGAUAAAGAACCACAAGAAAUGAGAAUUUCCCUGGGAAUCUCAUAACGGGAGAAGGAAAUGCCUGCUAACAGUCAGAUGGGGAGUUUGUCUUCUUCUUUCUGUCACACCUUGAGAAAAGAAACUAAAACGGAGACCAAACCAAAAUGGAGUUACUAUUAAUGCCGUACAAUCAAAGCAAAACUGUAAGGCAACAUCAGGCUAGCUUUCCUGCCAGCUGAGAUUCCAGCCCACCUUGGUCCUUGUGAGAAGGAAACCCCUGAAGAGAAGGUGGUUGGGGAAGUAAGUGUGGGGUUGUGAAAAAGAACAGAGGUGUAAAGAUAGGCAUGUAUGAGCUGUGACAGUGACUCCCUUUGUAAGCUAACACCAACAAAAAGUCCCCUCUGCUUUAACCUUACCGAGAGGGCCAACCUGAUGUUAAACAACCAGUUCCUCCACUCCCACCCCUACAUUCUUUGUGAAGAAAGAAUCUUAACCCAUGUUAAACCCUACUGUUCCGCCACUGUCCACUGGGCCUUGGUCUGAUUUUGUAGACUUGGAGGGUGCCUCAGUUCAUGGAGAGAGAAUAAAAGACAGUUAUAUCCCUGAUUAAAUUUGUAAUUUUGCCUUUUUUGCUUUGUUUUUGUAGCUCAGGCUGGCUUCUCCUCAUCCUAACUCAGUGGCCCCCUGUGGGAUUAUAGGCGCCUACUGUUGGGAUCCGGUAGCAGGCAUCUCUACGGCCAGCCCCAAGGGACCUGACAAACCAGAUGUCAGGCAUCUGUGAAGCUACCUAUGGACCACCUGAAGCCACCUGCACCAUGCUCUAGUUACCCUGAUAUCAGGGCUAAGCUUAAAUGCUUGGAGAGAGGACCUCUGACUCCACAGGCAGAAGUUUUAGCGCUGGCCUUUAAGGUAUACCAUGGGAGAGAUCAGAAAGCCCACAAGCAAAAAUACCAAAUGCUGGCCAAGGCUAUCUGACCAGCUUCAGCCACUACCCAGGCUCCCUUGCCUACUAGAAGGCAUGAGGAACUCAUUGUUUCAAAUGUGAUCAAGAAGGUCACUGGGCCCAGUUUUGUCCUAACCCCCUCAAGGCACCAGGGCCAUGUCCAAAAUGCCACCAAGAGAGACGUUCGGUUGUUGAUUGCAACCGUUUCUCCCAUGAUAUGGGGACAUCACUCCCAGAUCACCCUUCGGCCGAUAUCCUAAGCCUAGCUAUCGAUGACCAAAGGUGUCCGGGUUCCCUUGACCAUACUAUUGCCAUCACUAGCCGGGAGCCACGAGUGAUUAUCAUGGUAUCGGGGUGGUCCAUCUCCUUCCUUGGGGACACCUGAGCCACUUGCUCAGUCCUGACAGAGUAUUGGGGACCAACCUCUUCUUCUAGUUCCCCUAUUGUUGGGGUAGGUGGACAGCCUUACCAGCCUUGCUGGACUCAAUCACUCAAUUGUAUUUUCAUUGCUGUUCCCUUAACUCAUUCCUUUUUAGUGAUGCCAACCUGUCCAGUUCCCUUACUGGGAAGGGACUUUUUAGCCAAAGUGGGAGCCUUUAUCUCCUUUACUCCAUCCAUUUGCCUAACCCCAAGUUCACCAGCAUCCUCUUUCCUCCUUCUCCUAGCUACCCUACCUACCAGUUAUGAAACAUCGCUUCCUUUACCAGCCUCGCAAGUGGACCCCCAAGUCUGAGAUGUCCAAAACCCAUCUGUUGCUAGGCACCAUUCCACCUGUGGUCAUUCAGCUACAGGAUCCUACCUGUUAUAUUACCCAAUCCCUGGGGAUGGGAGAAGUAGAGAAGGUAAUUAAACACUCCUCUAAGUGUGGAGAGCUGCUUGUCUAGCUACUUUGUUACUUAUUGAAAAACAGUUUUCACCCUGGCCUUCACCUUGAGACUGAGAAAAGAGGGAGUUUCACCAAGUUCCUUAAAACUUGUUUGUGUGACCUUGGACCAUAUCUGCUAUAGGGAAGUAGUUUUAGAAAACAAGUUUGGCAGUUCCACGAACGUCUUUCUUGUAUUGAUGUGACUUGCUUUAAAUUUUUCAAUCCUCACUCCCCACUCAGGAACUGUUCGACUCUGCCAGCGGGCUCCGGCAUCAAAGGCCAUUGCCUCUCUGACUUUCCCCCUCCUAAAUAAUACAAACCUGUCAUUUUGUCUCCUACUUCACACUCUCACCUCAGCCUACAAGCUCCUUAAUGUGACCCAACCAGGCUUUUUUAAAGCUGGCUGGCUGUGUGUCCCACCUGGGACCAACUCAGAGCUACCACUGACAGCUUCUCCAGUGACUCUGUCAAGUAACCUUACUUCACUAUUCAUCAACUGCCCUGACUCUGAUGUUGCCACAACCCCCCUAACCUUUUUCAUAUCACCCUCUUUGGCAUGGCAAGCUGUUUCAAGGCAUCUGGAACAUACUCUGUAGGAAUGCUAAGUUCCUUAGAGUGUAAUAAAACUAUAAUCCUUGAUACUUCAUCUCAUCCCCAAUGCCCUACUGCUAAUAAUACCUCAAUUCUUUGUGGUACUCAGGUCUACCAUCAUCUGCCUGCUGGUUGGUCAGGAGUUUGCAAGCUGGUGUUCCUCUUCCCGAGCUGGGGGUGAUAAAUGAAAGGGAGCCCCUACCAAUCCCGGUCGUGGACUCAAUAGCUGCCAGCAGGAUAAAAGGGCAGUUCAAAUCCUGCCCCUCUUGGCCGUUGCAGGAAUCACGGCAGCUGUCAGGAUCGGGACAGCAGGACCAGCCACUUCACUAACUUCGUAUCAUCAGCUUUCUUCCUAGUUCAUCCAGGACCUCCAGCAAGUGGCUCAGACAAUACUAACUCUCCAGGGACAGACUGACUCGCUGGCAGCAGUAGUACUUCAAAACCGACGCGGAUUGGAUCUCCUCACAGCUAAAGAAGGUGGCCUUUGCCUCUUCCUCCAGGAGGAAUGCUGUUUUUAUGUCAACCAGUCAGAACCAGAUGACAAUGACUCUCCAAUCAACCCUGAUGGUGGGGACCAGCUGUACCCUGAGAUCGACAACGCCCCUAAUCAGCAGCAAGUAGCUUGAAGAGCAAAGGUUGCCCCAAUGCCCUCACCACCAUCACCGCCUUCCUAGCUCCUUACUUUUUAAUAAAACAAAAAGGGAGAAAUGUUGGGAUCCGGAAGCAGGCAUCUCUACGGCCAGCUCCAAGGGACCUGACAAACCGGAUGUCAGGCAUCUGUGAAGCCACCUAUGGACCACCUGAAACCACCUGCGUGUGCUCUGGGUCACCUUAGAACUCGCACCACCUCCAGUCUCUCUCUUCUGCCCUGCCCAGAGACGGUCUCUGUGACCCCUUCCCCCCUCCCUUAAUAAACCUCCCACAUGGAA